Molecule: ribosomal RNA, 253 nt
Filed under: uncultured bacterium
Lineage: Bacteria
Description: partial 16S ribosomal RNA
Rfam family: Bacterial small subunit ribosomal RNA
Source: RNAcentral
UACAGAGGUCUCAAGCGUUGUUCGGAUUCAUUGGGCGUAAAGGGUGCGUAGGCGGCGUGGUAAGUCGGAUGUGAAAUCUCGGAGCUUAACUCCGAAACUGCAUUCGAUACUGCCGUGCUUGAGGACUGGAGAGGAGACUGGAAUUUACGGUGUAGCGGUGAAAUGCGUAGAUAUCGUAAGGAAGACCAGUGGCGAAGGCGGGUCUCUGGACAGUUCCUGACACUGAGGCACGAAGGCCAGGGGAGCAAACGGG